GUAGGUGGCAAGCGUUGUCCGGAAUUAUUGGGCGUAAAGCGCGCGCAGGCGGUUCUUUAAGUCUGAUGUGAAAGCCCACGGCUCAACCGUGGAGGGUCAUUGGAAACUGAAGAACUUGAGUACAGAAGAGGAAAGCGGAAUUCCACGUGUAGCGGUGAAAUGCGUAGAGAUGUGGAGGAACACCAGUGGCGAAGGCGGCUUUCUGGUCUGUAACUGACGCUGAGGCGCGAAAGCGUGGGGAGCAAACAGGGAUUAGAUACCCUGGUAGUCCACGCCGUAAACGAUGAGUGCUAAGUGUUAGGGGGUUUCCGCCCCCUUAGUGCUGCAGCUAACGCAUUAAGCACUCCGCCUGGGGAUACGGCCGCAAGGCUG
This 372-nucleotide ribosomal RNA is filed under the name uncultured organism. RNAcentral's name for it is "partial 16S ribosomal RNA". It matches the Rfam family "Bacterial small subunit ribosomal RNA", at positions 527 to 896 of the family's 1533-position model. The record is from RNAcentral.